RNAcentral lists this ribosomal RNA (482 nucleotides) under Enterobacter hormaechei. RNAcentral's name for it is "bacterial SSU rRNA". It matches the Rfam family "Bacterial small subunit ribosomal RNA", at positions 30 to 503 of the family's 1533-position model. Lineage: Bacteria; Pseudomonadati; Pseudomonadota; Gammaproteobacteria; Enterobacterales; Enterobacteriaceae. The record is from RNAcentral.
AUUGAACGCUGGCGGCAGGCCUAACACAUGCAAGUCGAACGGUAACAGGAAGCAGCUUGCUGCUUUGCUGACGAGUGGCGGACGGGUGAGUAAUGUCUGGGAAACUGCCUGAUGGAGGGGGAUAACUACUGGAAACGGUAGCUAAUACCGCAUAACGUCGCAAGACCAAAGAGGGGGACCUUCGGGCCUCUUGCCAUCGGAUGUGCCCAGAUGGGAUUAGCUAGUAGGUGGGGUAACGGCUCACCUAGGCGACGAUCCCUAGCUGGUCUGAGAGGAUGACCAGCCACACUGGAACUGAGACACGGUCCAGACUCCUACGGGAGGCAGCAGUGGGGAAUAUUGCACAAUGGGCGCAAGCCUGAUGCAGCCAUGCCGCGUGUAUGAAGAAGGCCUUCGGGUUGUAAAGUACUUUCAGCGGGGAGGAAGGCGAUAAGGUUAAUAACCUUGUCGAUUGACGUUACCCGCAGAAGAGCACCGAACUC